RNAcentral lists this long non-coding RNA (12866 nucleotides) under Capsicum annuum. Its description in RNAcentral is "long non-coding RNA (CANN_LNC012130)". The record is from RNAcentral. Lineage: Eukaryota; Viridiplantae; Streptophyta; Magnoliopsida; Solanales; Solanaceae.
UUCUUUAGAAAUGCAUAUUGCUUCCCUACAUCUUAACUAAUGCAGCAUUCCGGUUUUCUGUUUUAUGUAAUACUAUUUCAAAGAUUUUUGCCAACAAAGAGGAACAAAAGAAUGAAGGAAAUAAAAAAGAAUGUUCGGUCCUCAAUUCGAGGUAUUAUUGAUAAAAGAUUGAAGGCAAUGGAAGCAGGUUUACUUGUGUGAAUAUGCCAUGGUUCACUUCAACAAUCUCCAUUUUGUUAAGGAUAAAGUAUACUUGUCUGGAAGUAUUUGUUGAAGAGUUGAAGACAUAAUUAAGAAAAUCAAAAGUGUGAUUUCUCAACAACUUAAGCUUUUUGAUGAGUCGGUCAGGUCAGAUACAACGUGAUAACUGAGCAAAUAGAGUUCCUGGGUUCGAGUCUCACCGUCACACACAUACAUUUUAUAUUAUGAAGGUGCACUUAAGUGGUCAAAUAUCGAUUGUGAUUUAAUUGAGAGAAUGAUCAUAUCAGCUAACAUAAUCCAAAAUUCUUACCUUCUUCUUCAUUUGUUUCUAAUUUUUGGUUGUAUAAAUGAUCUUCAAAUUUGUACCACUUGUAGUAAAUCGUGAGACAUAUGGUUGCAGGGAAAAAUUCGUUUGUAUGGAUGGGUCCAAAUCCACAAGUAUUAAUCAUGGACCCUGAGCUUAUAAAGGAAGUACUCUCGAAAAACUACUUGUAUCAAAAGCCUCGUGGAAAUCCAUUUUUAGCGUUGUUGGUACAAGGACUGGUAAGUUUUGAGGAAGACAAAUGGGCCAAACACAGAAAAAUCAUCAAUCCCGCUUUCCAUCUAGAGAAGCUAAAGGUUUGUCUCUGCUUCCCUCCCCCCUUUCCUCCUUCAACUUAGUGAUUGGUCAACCAGAAAUUAUUAUGUUCACGAUUCUUAAUCUAACAAUGGAUAAACUGCGGACUUUCUCUUCUCUCGCUACUGCUUUAGCUAAGUCUUUCUAUCUCCCUUGAUCUUCAUUCCUUACCGUUCAAUCUAAACUUUUUAAGUAUCUGGCAUAUGGCUAUGUCGAGUAAUUUCUACUGAAUUAGAAAAGCAUUGAAGGGUCAUUGACAAUUUCCCUCUUUCACCAUUUUCUCGAACAGCAUAUGCUUCCAGCUUUUUACUUGAGCUGUAGUGAGAUGUUGAGCAAAUGGGAAGACAUUGUUCCACUUGAAGGCUCACUUGAGAUAGAUGUAUGGCCUCACCUUCAGCAAAUGACUAGUGAUGUAAUCUCCCGGACAGCUUUUGGAAGUAGUUACGAAGAAGGUAGAAAGAUUUUUGAACUUCAAAAGGAACAAAUUCAGCAUCUUACCGAAUCUAUGCAAUCAGUUUAUAUCCCAGGAUGGAGGUAAAGUACUCUAUUACAAACUAUAAUGUUCUUCAAAAAUGCACAUUGCUUCCCUUCAUCAUUAAUUUCUUAUCUAACCCAUGUUGGUUUACUGUUUUAUGUAAUCCUAUUUCAAAGAUUUUUGCCAACAAAGAGGAACAGAAGAAUGAAGGGUAAACUAUAAUGUUCUUUAGAAAUGCAUAUUGCUUCCCUACAUCUUAACUAAUGCAGCAUUCCGGUUUUCUGUUUUAUGUAAUACUAUUUCAAAGAUUUUUGCCAACAAAGAGGAACAAAAGAAUGAAGGAAAUAAAAAAGAAUGUUCGGUCCUCAAUUCGAGGUAUUAUUGAUAAAAGAUUGAAGGCAAUGGAAGCAGGGGAGGCUGACAAUAAGGAUCUAUUAGGCAUAUUGCUUGAAUCAAAUUUUAAAGAAAUUGAACAACAUGGGAACAAGAAGUUUGGAAUGACCAUUGAAGAAGUCAUUGAAGAAUGCAAGCUAUUCUAUUUUGCUGGCGCAGAAACAACAUCAGUGCUACUCAUAUGGACUCUGGUUCUGUUGAGCAGAUAUCAAGAUUGGCAGGCACGGGCCAGAGAAGAAGUCUUGCAAGUGUUUGAGAGUCAAAAACCAGAUUUUGAUGGAUUGAAUCGUCUAAAAGUUGUGAGUAUUCUGAUUUUAUUGGUUCACUUUAUCUAGUUUCUACUGUCAUUGUUAUUGUUAUUGCUUGAGUUCUUAAAUUUGCUAAGUUGGAAUUUUGUGAUACUAAUUUAAUAGUGGAAUGGUGGGAGGCCAAAGCCCCCGUGAACAGUGGCCGUAAGCCCUUAACUGCAAUGUUAAAUUUUUACAUGGCUCAUUCAUUCUGGAUAUAAUUGAAGGAGGAGCAUUUUUUAUGGCAGGUCACGAUGAUCUUGUACGAAUCAUUACGACUAUAUCCCCCAGCAACAUCGAUUAUCCGGCGGGCUAAUAAAGACAUUGUAUUAGGAGAAGUAUCUAUACCAGCUGAUGUACUAAUCUCAUUGCCAGUGAUCAUAUUGCAACAUGAUAAAGAGAUAUGGGGUGAAGAUGCAAACAAGUUCAAUCCAGAGAGAUUUAGAGAAGGAAUAUCAAGUGCAACAAAAGGUCAAGUAACAUAUUUUCCAUUUGCUUGGGGUCCUAGAAUAUGCAUUGGACAAAAUUUUGCCAUGUUAGAGGCAAAGAUGGCUGUGUCUAUGAUCCUACAAAGCUUCUCUUUCGAAUUGUCUCCAUCCUACACACAUGCUCCUCAAUCCAUAAUAACCAUGCAGCCUCAGUUUGGUUGCCCACUUAUUUUCCACAAACUGUAACUUUUUGCUUGAACCUUGGUAUUUGUAUCAGGAAAUACAUCAACUUUGUAUGUCUUUUAACGCAGUUUAUUAUUCGUUGCAACUUGUAAAUCUUUAUAUAUAAAUUUUGCUACGCAUCAAAAGUAUUAGGUUUAGAUGAACUCAGUGAUCUCUACAUCCACAAUUGUCGUUGGCAGGUAUUGACAUGACAAGAAACGGUAAUGAUGGAACGAUAUAGUAAUUUUUUUAAAAAAUAUUGACGGUGUGUGAACUAGCUUACGAACAUCUCAAUUAUCAUUAAUUAGUUACUUGAACAAUCCUCAUUAGUAUCCUUCAUAAAUAUAUCAUUCAGUUGAUCUCUCCGUUUUACAUCUUCAAAAAAAAUCAGGUCAUCUUAAAUCGUAGCAUUGGUAAAGCGGAAGUCCAUUUCGAUAUGUUUAACUCUUUCAUGCUUCAUUAAUUUGGUCACAAACAAAUGUAAUAGAUCUUCAUCGAUUUUGAAACUGCAAAAUAAUCAUGCAAGUGAUUAGAGUAUAUGUCAAGUUCAAGAGUUCCUUUAAAGUAACACAAGUUUUGUUAGAGAUCUACUGAUCGUGUGUUUAAUGAUAGGUGUGUGUAUAAACUAGAAAGAAUUACGGUUUUAGUCUCUGAGUUAACGUGUUAUUCUAGUUUUGGUCCCUAUGAUAUCCGAUUAACCACUUUUGACCUUCAAUUAAACCCUAACUGCUAUUUUGAUCUGAUGACUAACGGAUCUCAUCAACCUGAAUGCACUAAUAAAAUACCUUGUAUAUAUUAUCCAUGAAAAAGUUUGAAGUCAUACUAAAAAUGUUAAGAGGUGAAAUCAAUAAAAUUUGCUUAAUUAGAUGCCCAAUCAGUAAAAAAUGUGCCUAGAUAUUAUAAAUGCUGAAAAAGAAUUUAACAUUUUUGCAUAUAAUUUAUUUUCAUAAAGGGUCAAAAAAGUGCUCUUACUAACGUUAUUGGUUCAUUUGGAUUGAUAAUUCAUGUUAGUUAUCUGAUUAAAAUAGCACGUAUUGCUUCAUUAAAGAUUAAAAAUGCUUAGUUGAAUAUUACAGAGAUCAAAGCUGAAAUAACACGAUAACUCAGAACUCAAAAGGUCAUUUCCUCGCAUAAACUAAUUGAAAAUGUUGAUUGCUCGGGCAAUAAAGGCAUACUAGUGAUGUCUAAACAGUAGUCCAAACCAGAGAGAGCAAAUUGAUAACCCGAUAAAACUAGGAAAAAAUACAUCAAAUAAACAUUUAAACAUAUCUGUUUUUGGUCAGAUAGAAUUUAAUUUAAAUUUGGUAUAAGGAGCAUCUCCUGACAAAAAGAGUAAACUCAUUCAACUUCUUCUUUCUGUGUUGGCAUAAAGCUAGUGGGUACUCCACCUAUAGGAAUUAAUUUAGCAACAAAAGCAAAAUUCUUGGCAAAUACGUAAGACCAUGUAUAUAUGAGGCUGACAUCUGAUUAGCCUUUAAGGUCAAGGAAGCUGGUGAUAAGGGAGCGGGCAACCAAAGCCAGAGUGAAUGGUGGCAUAAUUGUAACAAUUAAAUUUUACAUGUCUCAUUCAGACUAAGAUAUAACUGAAGGAGAAGCAUUUUUGUUGUAGGUGACAAUGAUCUUGUAUGAGACACUACGGUUAUAUCCCCCAACAAUAGCUAGUAAUAAUUUGGCGAGUAAUGAAGACAUUGAAUUAGGAGAAUUGUCUCUACCAGCUGUGCACUAGUCUCUUUGCCAGUGAUUUUACUGCAUCAUAUAAAGAGAUACGGGGUGAAGACGCAAACAAGUUCAAUCCUGAGAGAUUUAGAGAAGGAAUAUCAAGUGCAACAAAGGGUCAACUUACAUAUUUUCCAUUUUCUUGGGGUCCUAGAAUAUGCAUUGGACAAAAUUUAGCCAUGUUAGAGGCAAAGAUGGCUGUGUCUAUGAUCCUACAAAGCUUCUCUUUCGAAUUGUCUCCAUCUGACACACAUGCUCCAUCUUUCUCUCUUUGUGGCUGCUAAAAACUCUUUUCUGGAUGGUGCAAUAAGUCCUAAAAAAUCUAUAUAAAUGCCCCAUAGCAAUGGAUUUAUGAACAAAAAUGGGUUGGUUCAAUUGAGUUUUAUUUAUUCACAUAUGAAGGGAAAACGAUCCAUAGCCCAAUAAUUCUCCCCCUCACGACUGUGUGGAGGAGACCAUCAUCCCGGUGAUCAUGCAACAAUCUUCAACUUCCCUCUAAAAAGUAGCAAAUUCUAAAAUUUUGUGAUUUUAAACUAAAUAUGUGUAUGUAUUAAAAUUCUCUUCGAAUCUCUUGAUUCUUGUUGAAAGUUGCUUUAAGAAUGCAACUGUUUUUUUUCCUUUUUUCUCCAGCAAUAUUUUUUUUAACGUACAAUCCUAGUUAAAUUAGGAGUCCUAUCUUUGGUAGGAAACUAGUUAGUUAUUCUAAUUUUGGUAGAAAUACGUGUUUCUUUGUCCUAUUUUUAGUUGUAAUAACAACUAUCUAAGUUGCUAAGUUGAUGAUCAAUUAUAGUCGGUCUUUCAACAAGAAAAUAAUCUCUCUCUGUCUCUCUACAUAUUCUCUUCUUCAAACUCCAUCUCUGUUUCUGCGUCCAGCUUUAAAUUGAAUUCCUGUGUUAUUUCCCUUUAACAGUUUUAAACCAACAAUUGGUAUCAAAGCUUUAAUCUUAAGGGACCUGUGAGUGUUGUGCAUCAAUCUGAUCUAGUGGAUACCAUGAAUGGAGAAACAAAUUCUUCUUCAAUGGCACCACCAACUUUCGAUAGAGAAAGUUAUCAAAUCCGGGCAGUUAGAAUGCGGAUAUAUCUACAAGCUUUGAAUCUCUGGGAAGCUGUUGAAGAUGAACACGAGAUAGCUCCCUUGCCAGACAAUUCCACGGUGGCGCAGAUUAAAACUCACAAGGAGAGAAAAACUAGGAAAUCAAAGGCAAUGACAUGCUUAUUUACUGUAGUUUCAUCUAAUAUCUUGACUCGUAUCAUGUCUCUACAAUCAGCAAAAGAGGUAUGGGAUUAUCUCAAGACUGAGUAUGAAGGAGAUGAAAGGAUUCGAGGGAAGCAAGUGGUGAAUCUGGUACGUGAGUUUGAGCUGCAAAGGAUGAAAGAAAGUGAAACCAUAAAGGAAUACUCUGACAGACUUCUUAAUUUAGCAAAUCACAUCAGAUUGUUGGGUUCCACUUUCAAUGAUUCAAGGAUCGUUGAAAAAAUCCUAUUAACGGUACCUGAAAGAUUUGAGGCUACCAUAACAACCUUAGAAAACACUAAGAACUUGUCUAAGAUCACACUUGCAGAGCUCUUAAGUGCUUUUCAAGCGUAAGAGCAACGGCGUAUUAUGAGACAAGGAGGAGCUGUCGAAGGUGCCUUACCAGCCAAACAUCACGAUGAUGGACGUUCUAAGAAGAAGAAGAAUAAGAAGUACCAACCAACUGAUGAAGAAGGUGCAACGCACAACAAUAAAAUCAAAACAGGUGGUUUCAAAGGAAACUACCCUCCUUGUAAGCAUUGCAGAAAGCUCGGACAUGCACCUUUCAAGUGUUGGGAGAGGGCUGAUGCUAAGUGCAGUAAGUGCAAUCAGCUUGGGCAUGAAGCGAUCAUCUACAAGAACAAAACUGAGCAGUAAGAUGCAGAGGCUCGAGUUGUUGAUGAACUGGAAGAAGAUCAACUCUUUGUCGCAUCAUGUUUAACAAGCAGUGUCUCAAGCGAAUCGUGGCUGAUCGAUAGCGGAUGCACAAAUAAUAUGACUUGUGAUAAAAAUCUUUUUAAAGAUUUGAGCCCUACUAAAGUUACAAAAGUUAUAAUCGGCCAUGGUGGUUAUAUUCCAGCAAAAGGAAUGGGAACCAUUACAAUUGAAACAUAAUCGGGCACUAAAAUAAUUUCUGAUAUUCUUUAUGUACUCGAUUUGGACCAAAACUUAUUAAGUGUUGGUCAGUUAUUAGAAAAAGAUUUCAAAUGUAUUUCAAAGAUAAACACUGUUUGAUCAAGAAAGCAUCUGAACAAGACCUAUUUAAAGUCAAAAUGAGAGGCAGAAGUUUCUCAUUAAAUCCAUUGGAAGAAGAACGCGGAUUUCACCCGUUGUGUGUGGAGCCACCUCUACUAAAAGAAGAUAUCAGACCUGAUGAUGAAGGCUGGAUUUGUCCUGGUUGUGAUUUCAAAGUUGACUGCAUUGACUUGCUUAAUGAUAGUCAAGGAACCGACCUUUCCUUCACUGACAGCUGGGAGAAAGUAUAUCCCAAGGAAGUUGUUGCUGCGUCUGGGGAGAAUCUAGAUGAUAUUUCUGAACUUCCAUCUGAUGACUUGAAGGAUGAUGACUUCAACCUUGAAAAUCCAGAUGUAAAAAAAAUGAUUUUGAAGUUGAGGCCAGUUCUGAUGAAUCUACAAAGUAUGGGACUUCACAAGCUUCCAAGAAAAACGCUCGUUAUCUAAUGGAAAAGAUAAUCUUGUUAAACUUUAGGAUGCCAAGUCAGGGAUGGAACUUUCGUCAUUUCACGGGCAUAAGAAUACCGUUCUCCGCGUGAAGUGGAAUCAGAAUGGUAACUGGAUUCUUUUUUGCUUCCAAGGAUCAAAUUAUCAAGCUUUAUGACAUAAGGUCUAUGAAGGAUCUUGAGUCAUUCCGUGGGCAUUAGAACGAUGUGAAAUUAUUGGCCUGGCAUCUGUUUCAUGAAGAAUAUUUAGUCAGCGGAACCUAUGAUGGUUCAAUAUUUCAUUGGCUUGUGGGUCAUGAAGCUCCUCAAGUAGAAAUUACAAAUGCACAUGAAACUGGUGUUUGGGAUCUUUCAUGGUACCCAAUUGGUUAUCUCCUUUGCAGUGGCAGCAAUGAUCAGACAACAAAGUUCUGGUGCAGAAAAAGGCCUGGCGACUCCGCUCGUGAUAAAUUCAAUCUAGGACAGCAAGGUUUGGGUGAUCAAAACAAUGUUCUUGGUCGCAUGCCUGGUAAUUUUCCAGGUCUUGAGUCCCCCUCAACUCGUGGAGCAUUUACCUCCGGUAUAUUAAAAACUGAGGGUACAAUACCUGGAGUUGGAACUGCAGUGCCUCUGUCUAUCCCAUUACUUGAUUCAUCACCUCAAGGAGAACAGAAGACUUCAAUGCCAAUUUCAAUGCUUUUAGGAGCUCCUCCUUUUUCUCAUGGUCCACAUCCAUCUCUUCUUGCAAGUAAUCAGCAACAAGAGUAUCAACAAAAUAUGCAGCAAGUUCAGCAGCAGCAGUCACUACCUCAACAAAUGACUUCUCUUCUUCUGAAGCCUUCAAAUUUGCCACAGUUAGAAGACCUGUUCACUAAGCCACUUCCAAUCAGCAAGUUCGAGCUUCUAAGGCAAAGAAUUGGUGUUUGCAUUUCAUAAAGCAAGGAGGAGUGUUGAAAGUUGCUUUAAGAAUGCAACUGUUUUUUUCUUUUUCCUUCAGCAGUUUUUUUUUACGUACAAUCCUAGUUAAAUUAGGAGUCCUAUCUUUGGUAGGAAACUAGUUAGUUAUUCUAAUUUUGGUAGAAAUAGGUUGUUUCUUUAUCCUAUUUUUAGUUGUAAUAGAAACUAUUUAAGUUGCUAAGUUGAUGAUCAAUUAUAGUCGGUCUUUCAACAAGAAAAUAAUCUCUCUCUGUCUCUCUGCAUAUUCUCUUCUUCAAACUCCAUCUCUGUUUCUGCGGCCAGCUUUAAAUUGAAUUCUUGUGUUAUUUCCCUUUAACGGUUAUAAACCAACAAUUCUAAACAUGUGAUGUGGGAUGUUGAAAAUAAAUACUCCGUCCAUUUCAAUUUGUUUGUCUCACUUUCCUUUGUGUCUUUAUGGAAAAGAAUAUCUACUCUUUUUUGGAAACAUUUUGAUUUCAAUUUUUCACAUUUUGUGUUCAAGACCAUAAGCUUAGAGAACAUUUUGGUACUUUUCACUUAUUUUUAUGAGCCUUCGUCCUGUUGUUGUUUUAUAAAAUUUCACAGUGAGUCAUAUGCCCAAAGUAGUUCCUGUGCUCACACUUGAUUACUGUUAACAUAUAUUUUCUCUUCUAGAUUCUCCGUGAAAUGUAUUGCUAUGAAUUCCCAUGAUUAUGUAUGAGUUGUUGCCCUAUUGCUAUAUAUUCACCAUAUCUUCGACGAAAUCAUAAUUCAUCCAAUAUGUAACUGAAUUCUAUAACUCGAUUAGCUUGACUUCGGUAUGAACAAAGAAGGAAACUAAAUAGUCGUGCAGUGGAUCAAGAAAACAGAAUAGUGCUACAGUGAAGCCAAAGGAAAAAAAAAUAGAACUGCAUCUCAAAAAAAAGGGUAGGUACUUCAAUUUUCUCAUUUUUACUUGUAUAUUUUGGUGUAUUAUAAAGAUAAUACGUGAACUGAAGUAUAAUUUAGAAUAAAAUUAUAUGUCAGGACCCAUAUUCUCCCCAUAGGAUUACAUUUUCAUAUUGUCUAUUAGAUUAUGGUUUAUGCGGUUGAAAGAUCUAUUUAUAUGAAUUGAUCAUCAAAGGCUGAGAAGAUUCAUUUUUUGAUGGGACUGGUGCACUGAGCAUCUAAAGAUGUUGAGCUCAAAAAAUAUUUGUACAAUAUUUCUUCUAAAAGGUUAGUCAUUUUAUCAAUAAGUUCAGGUUAACAACAACAGUCAUCUCAGCCCCAACAGCAAGCUCAGGCACGACAACAACUUAACAGCUCAGCCACGACGACAACACCUUCAAAGCAUGUAUCAAAGUAAUAGCUUUUGGAAAUAUCCAAUCUUUGUAUAGUAAAAGAGUAGGUAUACCACCUUGUCACCCGCAAAUGCCUCCUAUUUCGUCAUAUUCUCAGAUCCCUUUAACCAGGCCAUGGGAUAAACAAACGAGUAUGCAGAAUUUUUGUAAUCCAAGGCUAUCACAUUCACGAUCUUUAUCACAACCAGCUGUUCUUUGUUGAAGAAAAUUUGUUCUAUAACAGGUUGAUCCACAAAGUUGAUACUGUAAUUGAAACGGACAGGAAUAAGCAAUACCACAAAACGAAAGAAAAUAAGAAGAACACACAGAUUUUACAUGGAAAUCCUUGACAGGAAAAACUAGGGGUAGAGGAGGAGAAGAUUCACUAUGAUGAAGAGGAAUACAUGGAGGAGACGAAGGUUUCAAUGAUGUAUAUAAACUACCACAAACAACCCACUAAAUCACACUUAUAUAAUACGUGCGUACAAAUAAAUCCUAAGUCCAAAAAAUCUCAAACAUGGAUCGCAUCGCAAACUUUUUAGAGCCGGGUCAACAAAAUUCGGGUCACAAACUCUAACGGAUACAAUGUCCUUUAUAAUUGGAAACCAUCUCAUCAAUGUGUGUGGUUGCAUCCUUUGCUGUUUUUGUUAAACUCGUGUUUCAUUUGUUGAGCAUUACGUUCCUAAUGUAAGGAUUCUCACACACCAAAUGGUUCUUUGAUACCAAAUUUAGUGUAUAUUUUGAUGAAAUUGUUACUCAUGCAAUAAAGAGGAUAUAUUAAUUUCACUCGACAAGGAACAGAACAACUUAUUAUGUUCGUUUUACUGUCUAGGCACAGGACUUGGCGUAUGGAGGCCAGAGGGUACUUUAAUAAAGUGUAAGUCUCAUGCAAUUUCGGAAAUUGGGUAGUUGAGCAUCUUGUGAUUUUAUUAUUUACCCUGCUUUUUUUUUUUGAGGUCUGAGUCAUUUGUGCGUUAUAUGCAGGCUUCAUGUUGUUGCAUCAAACACCGUUAAUUGAAACAAAUGAUUCACUGCUAUUGUUCCUCUUUCUUCUUUUGUUUUGUUUGUGGGAGGUUUUCGUUAUAAUACAUGAGAUGGAAAAGCAGUCCUGAUUCUUCAUAAAUAGAGCCGUAUCUGCAAUUUCAGAUAAUAAUAAUGAAAUCCAUCUCUGUCCUAUAGUGCUCAAUAAUUUGGGCCAAAAUUGAAAUUGACGUAAUAUAAAAUAAUUUUUGACAAGAAAUCAUACCCGACAUAUAAUAGACAUGCAGCUUAUCUUUGCUCUUUUUAUCAGAUGAUAAAUUCAAAAAUAUAUGGCAGCAUGUUGUUCAGAAGGUUUGUAGAGAAAAGGAAAUCCUGAUUUUAUUGAUUGUAACAGGAAUCCAAAUCUAGAAAGGAUGUGUCCGGAUCACUUGAGCUGAUAAAAAUAUGUAUCCUCUCAAUGCAACAACUACUGCCAACAAAGGAUUAAACAGACAUUAAAAAUUCAAAUGGAACAGAACCUCUCGCUGCACGCAAUAGCGGAAAGCAAUACCGAACAGGCAUGGAUUGUGCUCACUUCCCUGCUCCUUCAACCCUAUAAUUGAAACAAGGAGUGCAAUUUGGAUAAACUUAGUAAUUUUGAAUUUAUCGAACCCAUUAUCCAGAAGGAUUUUGAUAUAGGAUUCAACUAGCAUAGGACAUUGUCUCGAUUGCAACAAAUACAUUUUUAUAUGGCCAUUGAUCAAAUAUCUCUCAACCUUGUGAUGCAUCAAAUUUCUUCAUUUAUGUAAAUAAGAUAUGCAUAAUUACAUAGUAAAACUUGAUUUUUCUACUUAUAAUUCUAACUGAUACAAUUUAGCUUAUAGUACAUAAACAUCUUGCUUUGAUAUUGAGCCUGUGCAGACACGGACCGCACACCUCUAGUCAUUAAUAAACAUGUGCCACUAUCAUAAUAAAAAAGUUGUGAAUAAUUAAUUAAAAUUUGAAAGAAAAUGACUCUUUGAAGUUUUUUUUAAGAAAAUCAGCCUAAUGCGCUAAGCUCGCGUCGUACACAAGGUUCGGGGAAGGGUUCGACCACUAGGGUAGUCUAUUGUACGAAACAUCACCUUAUAUUUCUACAAUGAGUCAUUCCACGACUUGAACCUAUGACCUCCUGGUCACAUUACAACAACUUUAUCAGUUACUUCAAAUCCUCCCCACUUUUUAAUUUUUUUAAAAAAUAAUUUUUAAAACUUGAAGUUGUGUUUAAACUUUAAACGGGAAAAUUUCAUCCAUGAUCACUUAACUAUGUAUCUAUUACUCAAAAGUCAUUUUUCUUUCAUUCAUUUCAUCCAUAGUCAUUUAACUUUACUUUGACCAUCACAAAAGUCACUAUGAUCGGAUUUUACAAUAAUUUCAUCGAAAAAAUGAUGUGGCAACCUUAAUUAAUUCUUAAUUUAAAUUUAAGUGAAUAUAUAAUAUAUUACUCAUAUCUUGACCCUUUUUACAUGUGCACAACACAAUUUUCCUUAUGGACUAUUUAAUGAAAGAAUACUAAUUUCUUGAUAGAUUAGAUUGCCUAGACUAUUUUAUUAAAAAAAUUUAGUUGAUAUUUUUAUGAAAUAAAAUUAUACUUAUAUAUUCUUAAAAUUCUCUAAAGUUGAGACAUGUGUUGGUAAAUUAUUUUUUCCUCUAAUAUGAUGGUAUGUAGUUGAUAAAAUUAUUUUUCUCCCUCUAAAAUUGUGACAUGUAGUUGACAAAAUAAUUUUUUUCAUACAUUUUUUUUCUCACCACUUGAGUCUUUGCAUUCGGUAUAUCAUAAUAAGAUGAUAAACUACUCUAUUUAUUGAGUUUAUCUUUAUAUUUUUAAUUGUUUGACUAAUCGAUUAAUUCUCUUAAAAGUUUUUAUUAUAAGAUUCAAUUUCUUAUGAAUUACAUAUUUUUAAUUAAUUUAAUUGAUAAAUAUAAAAAUUAGAUAUCCUAUAAUUUCUUUAUCUAUUAAAGUACUUAUAUUUUAUAACUUUUAUUAACAAAACUAUACGUUAAUAUAACAUUAUUUGUAAAAUUUUGACAAUACUUAUUCAAUGACACAAUUAAAAAAAAUGAUUUUAAAACUAUCUUUAGCAUGUUGAUUUAUCUUCAAAGAAUUAAAAUAUUUUUUUUUAAAAAAAUAAUAUCAUACAAGUAUUUCUAUUUUAUGUGUUUUGAAGAAUUUAUCUUAUUUAUCACUCUUUUUCGAUGCACCUUUUUGGUAGAUGAAUGCAAUAUUAUGAAAUAUUUCAUAAAAAUAACAAUCAAUUUUUUCUAUGAAAAUAGUCUAUUAAGAAAUUGGUAUUCUUUCAUUAAAUAAUCCAUAAGGAAAAAUUGGGUUUGCACAUAUAAAAAAGAUCAUAUUAUAUAUUCACUUAAAUUAAAAUUAAAUUUCUUUCCUACAUCUUAACUAAUGCAGCAUUCUGUUUUUCUGUUUUAUGUAAAACUAUUUCAAAAAUUUUUGCCAACAAAGAGGAACAGAAGAAUGAAGCAAAUAAACAAGGAUGUUCGGUCCUCAAUUCGAGGUAUUAUUGAUAAAAGAUUGAAGGCAAUGGAAGCAGGGGAGGCUGACAAUAAGGAUCUUUUAGGCAUAUCGCUUGAAUCAAAUUUUAAAGAAAUUGAACAGCAUGGGAAC